RNAcentral lists this ribosomal RNA (559 nucleotides) under Phasmolia elegans. RNAcentral's name for it is "partial 16S ribosomal RNA". The stretch from base 170 to 467 matches the Rfam family "Bacterial large subunit ribosomal RNA", at positions 2074 to 2646 of the family's 2925-position model. Lineage: Eukaryota; Metazoa; Arthropoda; Arachnida; Araneae; Salticidae. The record is from RNAcentral.
UUUAUAGUAAAAUCUGCUCAAUGAAUAUUUCAAUAGCCGCAUAUUGUGCUAAGGUAGCAUAAUCAUUUGUCUUUUAAAUGAAGACUAGAACAAAAGAUUUAACAUUUUAAUUUAUUUCUUUAAUUUAAUAAUCUAAAUUAUAUUAAAAGUAAAAAUACUUUAAUAAAAAAGAAAGACGACAAGACCCUAUUGAACUUAACUUUAGUUAAACUGGGGCAGUUAAUUAUUUAAUAUUUUAAGAAUAUUAUUGAUAUAAUAAUCCAAUAUAAUAGAUAAAUCAGUUACCAUAGGGAUAACAGCGCAAUUACUUUUUAAAGUUCUUAUCACAAAAGUAGAUUACGACCUCGAUGUUGAAUUAAUAACCUAAAACCAUAAAGCAAAUUUUAUUAAAGGAAGUCUGUUCGACUUUUAAACAAUUACAUGAUUUGAGUUCAGACCGGUAUAAGCCAGGUCGGUUUCUAUCUUCUAUAAAAUUUUAUACAGUACGAAAGGACCUAUAAAUAUUUUAUUAUAAUAUUGGCAGAAUAAUGCAUUAGAAUUAGAAUCUAAUAAAACUUAA